AGUGAGGAAUAUUGGUCAAUGGAGGCAACUCUGAACCAGCCAUGCCGCGUGAAGGAAGACAGCCCUACGGGUCGUAAACUUCUUUUAUACAGGAAUAAUGGUUACUACGUGUAGUGAUUUGAAGGUACUGUAUGAAUAAGCAUCGGCUAACUCCGUGCCAGCAGCCGCGGUAAUACGGAGGAUGCAGGCGUUAUCCGGAUUUAUUAGGUUUAAAGGGUGCGCAGGCGGUUUUUUAAGUCAGUGGUGAAAGUUUGCAGCUCAACUGUAAAAUUGCCAUUGAUACUGGAAAACUUGAAUGCGGUAGAGGUAGGCGGAAUGUGUAGUGUAGCGGUGAAAUGCUUAGAUAUUACACAGAACACCGAUUGCGAAGGCAGCUUACUAUGCCGUGAUUGACGCUGAGGCACGAAAGCGUGGGGAGCGAA
Molecule: ribosomal RNA, 422 nt
Filed under: uncultured Bacteroidota bacterium
Lineage: Bacteria; Pseudomonadati; Bacteroidota
Description: bacterial SSU rRNA
Rfam family: Bacterial small subunit ribosomal RNA
Source: RNAcentral